AUGGGCAUUUGAAUAAGUUGUUUUGUUGUUACUGUUUUUAGUUCUUGAAGGAACAACAAUCACCCAAUCAUCGGACUUUCAAUCUCGUUGCCGGAGUUUCAGUUUUCCUGUUGCCGACGUUUCAUAAAACGGUAGCAAGUUGUCCGAUCUUGAAGGAAUCAGAACCUCCGGCCAACCAAUCGACGAUCACAUAAUCGAUGGUGUCCUCCCACUUUCCACCGCCUCAUACUAGAAAUUGAAAAAGGCAUGUCAAAAGUCAUUGUUUUUUUUUAAUACCGAUAAAAAAAAAUUUAUUGUUUAGAGGGGAGAUCCACCCUACGCCCAGCUGACGUGCUAGUUUUUGGUUGGGAGGGCGGGAAACAUACUUGUGUCGAUCUCACAGGUGUAUCCCCACUAGCCGGGUUCCAGAAAAAUGGGUUUGUGG
RNAcentral lists this long non-coding RNA (424 nucleotides) under Helianthus annuus (common sunflower). Lineage: Eukaryota; Viridiplantae; Streptophyta; Magnoliopsida; Asterales; Asteraceae. The record is from RNAcentral.